This is a long non-coding RNA of Rhododendron vialii, 7001 nucleotides long. RefSeq lists it as uncharacterized. The transcript is spliced from 2 exons. NCBI's taxonomy places the organism in Eukaryota, Viridiplantae, Streptophyta, Magnoliopsida, Ericales, Ericaceae. The record is from RefSeq and is a predicted model, not a curated record.
UUGAAAUCUUUAUAUUGUCCAACUAUUUCUCUCCCCAUAAUUGCGAAUAAACCAAAUACCUAAAUAGGCACCACAAAAUAAGCAUUACUCAGAAACAAGGAACAGAACAUAUAAAAAAUAACUGAAGAGAAGAAAAGGAUAAAAAGGGAACCAAAUAAUGAGUGCCAGCAGUGACCGCUUAAGAAAAAAUCUGCAAACACAAACGAAGGCCUUGCAAGUUUCAAUAUUGUAAACUUCUGCUAGAACAAGAGAAAAAUAAAAACUAACAUUCAAACCAUCUAAACAAUGAGAUCAAAUAACAGUCUGACUCGAGUUGGCAUUCCCGCAGCACAUAACAAGGGUCUGUCUAUCUCAAAAAGUAAUUUUCAAAUGACACAUAAACAAAGAGAUCACACUGCUCCAAAUAACAUAAAACCUUAAGUAAUGGAUUUUUUCAGUAAAAAAGAGUAAUAUCACCAGAGAAUGUGGUGGUAACCAAGUGACCGGGCAGCCCAAUAAUAUUUGUUUCCUCCUUGAAUGAAAUUUAGAACGAUGUUGUAACCAAAAUUUAGAAUGUUCGUGGUCCAACUGUGAUUGCAGAAUUCACUCCCUUGUAGGUAAUACAUUGAUUUCCGGAAAACAAUUACAAGAAGGUUGAAAUUUUGAAGAAAGAUACUAAACAAUGAGGACCAAAAAAAUGAUGAAGAUGAGUGAAAGACUAAGAAAAACUGGCGUAUAAAAAAUCAUUGAAAGAACCACCAAAUACUUAAACUUCAUAGUGUAGUUUAAAAUCCUCGAAAAUAAGGUCACUAUGGAACUCAAAAUCCAACAACGGGCAAUAAUCACUUGGCGGCAACCAACAUAAAGGAUAAGGAACUGCAAACCAAAAUGGGAACAAUAUCAACCACAAUCUUGUAGACUUCAAUUGCAUACGCUACGUAUUGGCAGCCGCAUAGGGAAGCGGGGCACCCGGCAGCCAAACUCAAGUAGCUGCUGAGAAAGUCGAAUAUCCAAUCUGCUAGAAGUCCACACAAACAGAAAGCUAAAACAAAUGAUUAUGUUUAACCAUGAAGGACAAGUCCAAUCAAUGAAGAACCAGAUCCCGUAUGGACUGAAACUAACCAGAGAUCAUCGCUUACUUUACCACUUGACAAAACUAAGAUCGAGAAGCUCGAAAAGAAGGUGACACUUCAACACAGAUCAGCAUCUAGGGAAAAAGUUCCAUAAUCCAAACUUGACCGAACUAAAGCCGAAAUCCCAGCAUUAUCUCAGAAUAUAGAACUAAAGAAGUUGAAGCUCUAUCCCAUCAACAAAAUAGAGCAAGAUAAGAUGUAAUAGGAGAGGGUUUAACAUAACUAUAAUAAUAGCAACACUGUAAGUGUUCUCUGUGAUGCACCUUUUCACCUAGCUUCAGCAUUGCAGAUUCCUUCAAAGGAAACAAUAACAAUAAAUACAGAAUGUAAAACAGCCCUUAAUCGGUUGAUACUGAGAGAAAUCAGAGUUCACUUCUAACCAAGAACAGAAACAAAGGUCAGGCUGUCUCGCAGGUUACAGCAGCUCGCGAAAUUAGAAAGUACCCCUGCAGCACAAGAAUGCGGGGAAAAUUUGACGUGCCAAUCUCGCAUCUUAUACAAUUGAAGGAAGAGAGAAAAAGUAGUAUGAGAGGGGAAUGGAAUGAGCAAUAUUUAUCUUGUUUCCCUCAAAUCCAAUGCAGGUGAUGUGUCAUAACGGGUUGGGAGCUGACAAACCACAUCUACAACACGUGAGGAUACAAUUAGGUUGACAGAAGGAGCAAGAAAACAACAAAAAAGACAAAGCCGAAAACAAAGACAUUUGAGACAUCUGCAGGUGCUACCACAAUAUCAAAUACCUCCUAAAAUGCAAUUCCAACUUCAACAAAUGCUGCAGGAAAGAACCUAAUAUAAACCAUGAUGGACAAGAACACAACUUAGGAUGUCAGGUGAAAAGAGAGAGGGAGAAAAUAUUACUGCUAGUACAUUGUUCAGCUCCCUGGCUUACAGAACGAGCUACCAAAAGAUAAAACCUUAAAUAGGCACACAAAACAAAGGAACUCCAAGACCCUAUACAUGGCUUAUCAUAACUUAUCUCAAAUGCAAAACUCUAACCUUGACGAUUCGAUGAUCAGUACAUAUGUUUAACACCUAAAGAAAUCUACAAAAAUGUUAAGUUUGGUCUUAUAUCUUAUCUACACAAAUCUAAUACCAAUCAUGGGGAAAAAAUUCCAGAAUAUACAAUGUAAGACAGACAGAAGUCACAGAACCAAUAUUGCAUCUCCCUCUCCAUGCCAAUAAAGAUCUGCAAAACUUACGCAGGAGGACGGAAAGAUGAUUAAAAAAAUAAACCUGUCGUAAAAUAAUACUCGUAAUAUAGGAUAGUACAAGGAAGACAUGCAAGAGUAUUGUUAUAACCUGCAUGCAGGGGGCGACUCUCAUGGCACACAUGGUAACUAAAAAACGAGACCCAUGAUAGAUAAUGCUGCAUAGAUAGAUAGCAGUAGGAGAGAUGGCAAAAAAAGGAAGAAGCACAGAAACAUACCCAACGACAGGAUGGCAAUGUGCUUCUCAAUCAUCCAAAAUAUUGGGAUUAAAAAAGGCAAAGGAAUGAAACAAGACCAAAAUCCAUCAUCAAUUCACCACCGUCCUGUCCUCCAUGAGACCUACUGUCCCCAAAAUUUUAGUUUACAAAAGGCAAACCAACUACAACAACCAAAAUAGUACAACGCAAACAAUGAUAAGCCAAUACCAGUCCCUGCAACUACUCGAACAACUGAGCAUAGGGAGAAUCCACUUCAUCCUUAACACCAACAUCAUAACCCUGCAUUUCCUCGACAUGUCUUAAGGAAAGCAAAUAAGUUAGAGCAAUGCCAACACAGUCCAGCAGUGUCCCACCUCUCCUACAAAAGCAUAAACAGCCACCCCAGAAAGACUGCAAGGAAAAGACAGGUCUCAUACCAUAACAUGAAAUAUCAAAACCCAGCUACCAACAAACAUGACUAGAAUAAUCUCCAAUCCUCCAUAAUAAAGACCAAAGUAAACUACAAAAACAAUCACAUGAAUGGCCACCAAGACUAACGAGCGGCGGAGGCAGUAUCCAUCAGCAAAAAAAUAUCAAAUAUCCAGAACGCAUUACACAGUGCGAAGCACCAUUAGAGAAAUCCAACCAGUCAAGGGAAGUCCAUCAACCAAAAUCUCUUGAUGGUUGGGAUAAACAUGAAGAAAAUUGUUAAAUAAACCUUCUACGUCAAAAAUUCUGAGAGGAGGACCCACAUUCAAAAUGCUCCUAGAUCCUUCACUUCACCUCAAUCAAAUCUUAAAUCUCUCCAUCCGAGAGAACUGUAAAAGUAAGAAUUAACUAGAAGUCAUGAUCUCACGUAAUCACAUCUGAUUGGGAACCCAAAAAAGGAAUCUGUUACUCUUGCCAAAAACUAAAAUAAACUCUUACACCCCCAAUGUCAAACCAAGAGUCCAAAAGCACUCAAAACCAUUUUCUGCAACAGUGAAAAACAAUUUGCUCCCAAUUAGUAAACCGAUCAAAUCAAGCACAACUUGUUGGGUAGUAGCAACAGAAAUUCCAUAGAAGGCAAAGAAUACCAAUAGCAAAGGAACCUGAAUUAAUAGACAUCAACCCAACCCAACCCAAACCAAAUCUAUCUCGAAUCCUCGACCAAGAUGAAAUCACCAGACGAUGCGACAUUAAGGAACACAAUUUAAGAAUUUUCCCCAAUCAGCAUGUCCAUCAAACCAAGCACAACUUGUUAGGUGUAGCUAGGGGAAAUCCAAACAAAUCCUGAAUCAGAACUCCAAAGUAACAAACAACACAAGAAAAUAAACCCGAGCCCAUAGUAUGCAAUACCAAAUUGCCAUAGAUCAUCAACAUCAUAGUAUAGGGUUCCAAAUUUGCUACAAAGAGAUCAUGCAGUAUCUUAAAACUGAAGCAGCUUGGAUUUCUCAGCAAAAAAGAACUAUUACACCCCUCCGCUGUUCAGCUCCCCGGUAACUUGCACCAAACAACAUAACAAGCAAAAACCGUGAAACCAAACUAUUAAGAUGAAGUGCCAGCAUUGUAAUCCAAAGAAAGGACAAAAAUCAAAGUCAAACAACUCCAUUGCCUUAUACUUCAACACUGAGCCAUGACGUGCAUUCCAAGUACCUAGUUAGGGUAGCAAAUCUCUGGAAGAAACAAAAUAAGAAACUACCUUCACCGAAAAUCUACAAACUACCAUGUAUUUGCAAUAAUUUUUGCAAAUAGCUCAGAUAACAUGGUUUUUAUUGUCUUAGGGUUCAGCAUCUUAUCAUUUCUCAUUUUGGGGUUAACAGUUUCUUGGGACAAGUUGUGAUAUACAAUGGGUAAGGUCUUGGACUUUAUCUAUGAAAUGGUGUUCAGAAAAAGAACAAAGAAGAAUUUGAGUUCCUGUGGUGAGUAAGUGCAUUUAACUUACGAGAUGAUAAACUACCUUCACUGAAAAUCUGCAAACUACCAUAAAUUUGUUAUAAAUGUUUGGAAUAUAGCUCAGUUAACAAGGUUUUUAUCAUCUUAGGGUUUAGCAUCAUUUCUCAUUUUGAGGUUCACAGUUUCUUGGGACGAGUUGUUAUAGGCAGUUGGUAAGGUCUUGGACUUCCUUCAUGAAAUGGUAUUUAUGAAAAAGAACAUAAAAAGGAACAAAGAAGAACUUGAGUUCCUACGGUGGGUGAGCAAGUGCAUUAUUUAACUUAUGCAGUGAUACCUUUCACUGAAAAUAUUGAGUGCCAAGUGUAUUAGUUUUAUUAAAAGGUGACCUUGUUUUGUAUUUCAAGAGAUAAGUGGGCAACUAUUAUCUGCAAGUUCUUACAGAAGAGUGCCACAAUUAGAGAAACAUACCUGCAUGCAAGGGGCUUCUGCUUCUAAGACUCGCCAUACAAAUGAAAUGGAAAUUUUAAAAAAUGACAUCGCUUGACAGUCAGUGCUGCAUAAACAUAUUAGGUAGAGGCCAGCAAAAGGAGAGGUGAUACAAAAGAAAGAAGCAUAGUGAUAUACCCAAUGACAUGAUGGCAACCCACUCAGCAAUCCUCCCAGAAACUGUAAUAAAAAAAUGACCAAUGAUAUGGAACAAUGCAAAACAAAAAAAUCCAGUGUGAUCGAGCUCUCUCCUGUCCAAAUAUGAGACUCAACUAUCACCAAAAGUACUUCAGCAAAGAAUUUCUAACUGUAAUGAACAUUGAACAACAAUAACAAACCAUCAUUGAGAAUCCAACUUCAUCCGUGUUUUCUUCUCGUCACGUCCUAGAAAAGCAAAUAAUUUAAAACCACAAAAGCAAACUUUUACUAUGCAAUGCCCACAACUCUCCUACAAAAGCAUAUGCAGCUACUUCUUGAAGAUCUUGACCUACCCCAAACAAGACUGCAACAAAGAGAAAGGUAUCCGACAAUGACACCAAUCUAGCUACCGACAAAUGACUAGCAUGAACCACAAUCCUCAAACUAAAUAAAAAUAAUUUCCGCCCCAAAUUGUGCUAUGGAAAUUGUGUGAUCUCUAACUCUAUACAAUGACAAAAUUCAGAAUGCUUGUAUGAAUAAAUAAAGUGCAAGAAUCAUACCACAACUUGAAAUAUCAAUGAAUUUCACAAAAUUUUAGAAAGAAAAUUUCACAAUAAAAUAAAAUAAUGAAAAUUUCACAAUAAAGUUAGUUCAGGCACAAAUUUACGUGCUUGAGCGACCUGCCAAGUUAUGGAUUUUCAAGAGCUGGAAUGGAAAACAAAAGGGGAAUUUCUGAAAUAUGCAAGAGCUAAUAACCUAUCAAGAGUCAUGGGAACACAUUCCCCCUUUCGUGCCAGAUUUUUUAGUUUGCCGUUUAGUGUAAAAAAUAGGAAUCAUAUGAAUGGCCACCAAGGAAAUCCAAUGUCAACGACUAGGACAAUAUUUAUCAACAAGAAGGGAUCACAGACAUAACCCAGAAAUUAUUUGUACCAUACUUAAAGCCUAAACUCCAGGACACAUCAUCAACAGCAAAGAACCAUCCGACUAGUUAAGAUAAGUCCAAUCAAACAUCAAACAUAUGGUUCGAGAUAUCACUAGAAAAUACCACAAACCUUGUCCCGAAAAAAUUCUGACAGGUGGAUCUACAUUCAAAAUCUCAUCCAAAUCCUUCAAUACCCCUUAAUCCGCAUCUAGAUAUCCCAAUAGAGAACUGUAGAAUUCAUGAUAUCUUAAAGUAAUAACCUCAUGGUAGUACAUGGAAAUCAAUUCGAUUAAUCACCUCUGACUAGGAGUCAAAGAAAGGAAAUCUUAUACCCAAGCCAACAACCAGCGUUCUCAAAUCAAAAAUCCAUAAGUACUUUAAUCCGAUUUCUGGAACACUGAAACAAUUAUCCCCCGAUCAGCAUAUCCCUUCAAACCAAGCUCAAGUUGUUAGGUAAUGGCAGGAAAAGCCCAAAGAAAUCCAAGAAUUCAAUUGAUAAAGAAACCUCGACUAGAAUUCGAAUGGGGCAAACAAGAACAUCUAUGAAUGAAACCUGAAAAAAUCUUCACCCGAUACAGAAUCGCCGUACAUUAAAUUAGGGAAUUCCACCAGUUAGGUAUAGCAAGAGAUAUUCCAAAAAAAUCAGAGAACUCCACUAGUAAAGGAACCUGAAUUAAUAUAUUCGAAUUGUGGCCAACAAGAUCAUCUACUCGACCCGAAUCUAUCUUCUACAGAUACGGAAUCGCCAAACAUAACCUUUAGGAAACAGAAUCGAAGAGUUUCCAAGAUCAGCACACCGUUAAAAUCAAGCGCUACGCUUUAAGGUAUUAGCAAGGGAAGUUCCACAGAAAAAUCAACGAUUUCCAAAGGUAUACGUAACCGCUACCAACUUGAAUAAGCAUUCGGAUCGUAAGGAACGAAGUCAACCUGAAACAACCUACACAAUAUGCAAAAUACCAAAUCGCCAAUUUAGAAGCCAAACUCCGAAACCCUAGAAAAGGGUAAGAGGGAGAUACCGACAGGAGAUCACCUAGUCGCUGCCUAGAUGCGUAAAACCAGACAAGGC